This 878-nucleotide ribosomal RNA is filed under the name Sclerophomella complanata. RNAcentral describes it as "LSU rRNA". It matches the Rfam family "Eukaryotic large subunit ribosomal RNA", at positions 55 to 948 of the family's 3401-position model. The record is from RNAcentral. Lineage: Eukaryota; Fungi; Ascomycota; Dothideomycetes; Pleosporales; Didymellaceae.
GGAUAAUGAAACCAAUCAGGGGUUUGCCCUAGUAACGGCGAGUGAAGCGGCAACAGCUCAAAUUUGAAAUCUGGCGUCUUUGGCGUCCGAGUUGUAAUUUGCAGAGGGCGCUUUGGUAUUGGCAGCGGUCCAAGUUCCUUGGAACAGGACGUCACAGAGGGUGAGAAUCCCGUACGUGGUCGCUAACCUUUACCGUGUAAAGCCCCUUCGACGAGUCGAGUUGUUUGGGAAUGCAGCUCUAAAUGGGAGGUAAAUUUCUUCUAAAGCUAAAUACUGGCCAGAGACCGAUAGCGCACAAGUAGAGUGAUCGAAAGAUGAAAAGCACUUUGGAAAGAGAGUUAAAAAGCACGUGAAAUUGUUGAAAGGGAAGCGCUUGCAGCCAGACUUGCUUGUAGUUGCUCAUCCGGGUUUUUACCCGGUGCACUCUUCUAUAAGCAGGCCAGCAUCAGUUUGGGCGGUUGGAUAAAGGUCUCUGUCAUGUACCUCUCUUCGGGGAGAACUUAUAGGGGAGACGACAUGCAACCAGCCUGGACUGAGGUCCGCGCAUCUGCUAGGAUGCUGGCGUAAUGGCUGUAAGCGGCCCGUCUUGAAACACGGACCAAGGAGUCUAACAUCUAUGCGAGUGUUUGGGUGUCAAGCCCGAGCGCGUAAUGAAAGUGAACGGAGGUGGGAACCUUUCGGGGUGCACCAUCGACCGAUCCUGAUGUCUUCGGAUGGAUUUGAGUAAGAGCAUAGCUGUUGGGACCCGAAAGAUGGUGAACUAUGCUUGAAUAGGGUGAAGCCAGAGGAAACUCUGGUGGAGGCUCGCAGCGGUUCUGACGUGCAAAUCGAUCGUCAAAUUUGGGCAUAGGGGCGAAAGACUAAUCGAACUUCCCUUC